This 376-nucleotide long non-coding RNA is filed under the name Androctonus crassicauda. Lineage: Eukaryota; Metazoa; Arthropoda; Arachnida; Scorpiones; Buthidae. The record is from RNAcentral.
ACGUCGCCUCUGGUGUGCAGGCCCCGGGGUUGGUUCGGGGUUUUGUCACUGGGGUUUUGUCUGGGGUGUGCUUCCAGGGGGGCUGCGGCUCUUUAGUGGGGUGGUCAUUGACUGGCUUCUCCUUUUUGCUUCUGGUGGGGAUUUCCAUGGACUCGGCAGGGAUUGCGUUCUUGUCUUUCUCCGGGCCCCGAACUGCUCUCGCACCUGCCCGGUCGACUUCAAUAUUGUAUUCACGUGCCGCUUUGGCGAGAGAUGUGGUGUCGGCCUUCAGGUUUGGGUCCCGUUCAUGUUCUUUUGGCCUUCUACUAAGAGGUCUGGUUGUUACCCCAAUGUAUGACUGGUCUUCCCCGGUGGUGUUGUUUCUGGUGGGGAUCUG